GGAAGGAUCAUUAACACGUAUCCAAGUCUUUAUGACUUAAAGUGUGCCGCUUGCGGUGCAUUUUUACCCCAAUUAACUGUUUGUCUGUGACCCUACAUGCGUAGCUUGCUAUGCAUAAACAUUUAAUCUUUACAACUUUUAGCAAUGGAUAUCUUGGUUCUCGUAACGAUGAAGAACGCAGCGAAAUGCGAUACGUAAUGCGAAUUGCAGAACUCAGUGAAUCAUCAAAUCUUUGAACGCAAAUUGCGCUUCGGAGUAAUACUUCGAAGCAUGUCUCUUUCAGAAUCGUUUACAAACCAUCUCGGCUGCGUGCAUGCCGGAAAAUGAGCGUCAGCAAUGUCGCUUUAAGUAUCGGACGCAUUGCACUAUAGCAAUUUGCGUGUUUGAUCAAGGUAGAUUCUAUCAUGGAUUGAACGCCAGUUGUUGUAGUACUCUAAUUGCGUCGUCACCAAUUCUGCGCAAGCGGAAUAACACCAAAACUUCGAUCUGAAAUGAGAUAAGAGUACCCGCUGAACUUAAGCAUAUCAAUAAGCGGAGGAAAAGAAACUAACAAGGAUUCCCUCAGUAGCGGCGAGUGAAGUGGGAAGAGCUCAGUUUGAAAAUCGGAAGGCUUGCUUUCCGAAUUGUAGUCUAGAGAACUAUUGCCAGCGUGUGGUCCCGGUCUAAGUCUUUUGGAAUAAGGCAUCAUAGAGGGUGAGAAUCCCGUCUAUGGCUGGGAGUCCGCCGCGUACGGCAUAGUUUCCAAGAGUCGGGUUGUUUGGGAAUGCAGCCCUAAUUGGGUGGUAAAUUCCAUCUAAAGCUAAAUAUUUACGAGAGACCGAUAGCGAACAAGUACCGUGAGGGAAAGAUGAAAAGGACUUUGAAAAGAGAGUUAAAAGUGCUUGAAAUUGCUAAAAGGAAAAGCGAUGGAAAUCAGUCGCUGCAUUUGGGUAUACUUCUCGUUCGUCUAGAGAUAUCCUGUUGGUUUGUGAGUUAACUCCACGGCUAAUAGGUUGUCGAUAGAUGGGCGAUUCCUGUGCUCAAGUGUGGGUCAAAAUCAAUUCGUUGGGCAAUAGCGCCAGUAGGAAGGUAAUGGGAAUCUGCUUGCAGUGAACCACGUUAUAGCCUAUUGGAUGCUUUGUUUGGUGGAUUGAGGUGGUGCUUACCGGCAUCCCGGAGUGGACAAGGGUGCGUCUUUUGUUGCGUUCUUGCUUGGAGACAGCAUAGCUGUGUCCGAGUGGAGAGUGUGGCAUUUGAGGCGUAAUACUUGCUGCUUCGGCGAUUUUGACGAAAUGGUUUUCAUCGACCCGUCUUGAAACACGGACCAAGGAGUCUAAAGUAUAUGCGAGUAUUUGGGUGUGUUAAACCCUGAUGCGUAAUGAAAGUAAAGGUGAGCAGAUAGUUCACCGAGGUGGGAUUCUCUCUUAGGAGAGAUGCACCAUCGACCGAUCGGUCACUUGUGGCUGAUUUGAGUAAAAGCAUACCCUUUAGGACCCGAAAGAUGGUGAACUAUGCCUGGACAGGGCGAAGCCAGGGGAAACUCUGGUGGAGGCUCGUAGCGAUACUGACGUGCAAAUCGUUCGUCUGAUCUGGGUAUAGGGGCGAAAGACUAAUCGAACCAUCUAGUAGCUGGUUCCCUC
This 1619-nucleotide unclassified non-coding RNA is filed under the name uncultured fungus. RNAcentral's name for it is "sequence contains 18S rRNA gene, ITS1, 5.8S rRNA gene, ITS2, 28S rRNA gene". The stretch from base 483 to 1619 matches the Rfam family "Eukaryotic large subunit ribosomal RNA", at positions 1 to 961 of the family's 3401-position model. The record is from RNAcentral. Lineage: Eukaryota; Fungi.